GGAUAACUCGCCGAAAGGCGAGCUAAUACCGCAUGACAUUCCGAAGACUCCGGUCUUUGGACUCAAAGGCCGCAAGGCCGUCUGAGGAGGAGCCCGCGCCCGAUUAGCUAGUUGGUGAGGUAACGGCUCACCAAGGCUUUGAUCGGUAGCCGGUCUGAGAGGAUGGCCGGCCACACUGGAACUGAGACACGGUCCAGACUCCUACGGGAGGCAGCAGUGGGGAAUAUUGCGCAAUGGGCGAAAGCCUGACGCAGCGACGCCGCGUGGGGGAUGAAGCUUCUCGGAGUGUAAACCCCUUUCGACCCGGACGAAUGACCCGCAAGGGUUUGACGGUACGGGUAUAAGAAGCCCCGGCUAACUACGUGCCAGCAGCCGCGGUAGUACGUAGGGGGCCAGCGUUGCUCGGAAUUACUGGGCGUAAAGGGUUCGUAGGUGGUGCGGCAAGUUGGAAGUGAAAUCUCUGGGCUUAACCCAGAGGCUGCUUUCAAAACUGCCGUGCUCGAGUGCGGGAGAGGCCAGUGGAAUUGCAGGUGUAGCGGUGAAAUGCGUAGAUAUCUGCAGGAACACCCGUGGCGAAGGCGGCUGGCUGGACCGCAACUGACACUGAGGAACGAAAGCUAGGGGAGCAAACAGGAUUAGAUACCCUGGUAGUCCUAGCCCUAAACCAUCGGAACUUGGGGUGGCCCGCGUAGGCGGGUCGUCCCGUAGCUAACGCGUUAAGUUCCGCGCCUGGGGAGUACGGUCGCAAGACUGAAACUCAAAGGAAUUGACGG
RNAcentral lists this ribosomal RNA (773 nucleotides) under uncultured bacterium. RNAcentral's name for it is "bacterial SSU rRNA". It matches the Rfam family "Bacterial small subunit ribosomal RNA", at positions 141 to 916 of the family's 1533-position model. The record is from RNAcentral.